This 526-nucleotide ribosomal RNA is filed under the name uncultured bacterium. RNAcentral describes it as "bacterial SSU rRNA". It matches the Rfam family "Bacterial small subunit ribosomal RNA", at positions 777 to 1304 of the family's 1533-position model. The record is from RNAcentral.
AAUAGAUACCCGGUAGUCCACGCCGUAAACGAUGUCGACUUGGAGGUUGUUCCCUUGAGGAGUGGCUUCCGGAGCUAACGCGUUAAGUCGACCGCCUGGGGAGUACGGCCGCAAGGUUAAAACUCAAAUGAAUUGACGGGGGCCCGCACAAGCGGUGGAGCAUGUGGUUUAAUUCGAUGCAACGCGAAGAACCUUACCUACUCUUGACAUCCACGGAACUUAGCAGAGAUGCUUUGGUGCCUUCGGGAACCGUGAGACAGGUGCUGCAUGGCUGUCGUCAGCUCGUGUUGUGAAAUGUUGGGUUAAGUCCCGCAACGAGCGCAACCCUUAUCCUUUGUUGCCAGCGGUCCGGCCGGGAACUCAAAGGAGACUGCCAGUGAUAAACUGGAGGAAGGUGGGGAUGACGUCAAGUCAUCAUGGCCCUUACGAGUAGGGCUACACACGUGCUACAAUGGCGCAUACAAAGAGAAGCGACCUCGCGAGAGCAAGCGGACCUCAUAAAGUGCGUCGUAGUCCGGAUUGGAGU